UGGGGAAUAUUGCACAAUGGGCGAAAGCCUGAUGCAGCGACGCCGCGUGAGGGAUGACGGCCUUCGGGUUGUAAACCUCUUUCAGCAGGGAAGAAGCGAAAGUGACGGUACCUGCAGAAGAAGCGCCGGCUAACUACGUGCCAGCAGCCGCGGUAAUACGUAGGGCGCAAGCGUUGUCCGGAAUUAUUGGGCGUAAAGAGCUCGUAGGCGGUUAGUCGCGUCUGCUGUGAAAACUCGAGGCUCAACCUCGGGCUUGCAGUGGGUACGGGCUGACUAGAGUGCGGUAGGGGUGACUGGAAUUCCUGGUGUAGCGGUGGAAUGCGCAGAUAUCAGGAGGAACACCGAUGGCGAAGGCAGGUCACUGGGCCGCAACUGACGCUGAGGAGCGAAAGCAUGGGGAGCGAACAGGAUUAGAUACCCUGGUAGUCCAUGCCGUAAACGUUGGGCACUAGGUGUGGGUCCAUUCCACGGAUUCCGUGCCGCAGCAAAGCGCAUUAAGUGCCCCGCCUGGGGAGUACGGCCGCAAGGCUAAAACUUAAAGGAAUUGACGGGGUCAUAGCUGUUUCCU
RNAcentral lists this ribosomal RNA (568 nucleotides) under uncultured bacterium. Its description in RNAcentral is "partial 16S ribosomal RNA". It matches the Rfam family "Bacterial small subunit ribosomal RNA", at positions 355 to 1375 of the family's 1533-position model. The record is from RNAcentral.